UACGUAGGGUGCAGGUGUUAAUCGGAAUUACUGGGCGUAAAGCGUGCGCAGGCGGUUUGCUAAGACAGGUGUGAAGUCCCCGGGCUUAACCUGGGAACUGCGCUUGUUACUGGCAGGCUUGAGUGUGGCAGAGGGGGGUGGAAUUCCACGUGUAGCAGUGAAAUGCGUAGAGAUGUGGAGGAACACCGAUGGCGAAGGCAGCCCCCUGGGCCAAUACUGACGCUCAUGCACGAAAGCGUGGGGAGCAAACAGG
This 253-nucleotide ribosomal RNA is filed under the name uncultured bacterium. RNAcentral describes it as "partial 16S ribosomal RNA". It matches the Rfam family "Bacterial small subunit ribosomal RNA", at positions 524 to 776 of the family's 1533-position model. The record is from RNAcentral.